CACGGGGGGAGCAAGCGUUGUUCGGAAUCACUGGGCGUAAAGGGUGUCUAGGCGGUCAGGUAAGUGAGAUGUGAAAUGCCCCGGCUUACCCGGGGACCUGCAUCUCAUACUGCCUGGCUUGAGUAUGGGAGAGGAUGAGGGAAUUCCUGGUGUAGCGGUGAAAUGCGUAGAUAUCAGGAGGAACACCGGUGGCGAAGGCGGCGUCCUGGACCAAUACUGACACUGAGUGAGCGAAAGCCAGGGGAGCAAACGGG
Molecule: ribosomal RNA, 254 nt
Filed under: uncultured bacterium
Lineage: Bacteria
Description: partial 16S ribosomal RNA
Rfam family: Bacterial small subunit ribosomal RNA
Source: RNAcentral